AAUCUUAUAGUCAAAACUGAUUUUAAAUUGCAAAUUUAAAGGUGAAAGAAGUUUCUAGGAUUU
Molecule: transfer RNA, 63 nt
Filed under: Microrhagus sp. ZM-2022
Lineage: Eukaryota; Metazoa; Arthropoda; Insecta; Coleoptera; Eucnemidae
Description: tRNA-Cys
Source: RNAcentral